This 433-nucleotide ribosomal RNA is filed under the name uncultured bacterium. Its description in RNAcentral is "partial 16S ribosomal RNA". It matches the Rfam family "Bacterial small subunit ribosomal RNA", at positions 29 to 507 of the family's 1533-position model. The record is from RNAcentral.
AACGAACGCUGGCGGCAUGCCUAACACAUGCAAGUCGAACGAGACCUUCGGGUCUAGUGGCGCACGGGUGCGUAACGCGUGGGAAUCUGCCCUUAGGUUCGGAAUAACUCCCCGAAAGGGGUGCUAAUACCGGCUAAUGUCUUCGGACCAAAGAUUUAUCGCCUUUGGAUGGGCCCGCGUUGGAUUAGCUAGUUGGUAGGGUAAAAGCCUACCAAGGCGACGAUCCAUAGCUGGUCUGAGAGGAUGAUCAGCCACACUGGGACUGAGACACGGCCCAGACUCCUACGGGAGGCAGCAGUGGGGAAUAUUGGACAAUGGGCGAAAGCCUGAUCCAGCAAUGCCGCGUGAGUGAUGAAGGCCUUAGGGUUGUAAAGCUCUUUUACCCGGGAUGAUAAUGACAGUACCGGGAGAAUAAGCUCCGGCUAACUCCGUG